This 468-nucleotide ribosomal RNA is filed under the name uncultured bacterium. RNAcentral describes it as "partial 16S ribosomal RNA". It matches the Rfam family "Bacterial small subunit ribosomal RNA", at positions 28 to 507 of the family's 1533-position model. The record is from RNAcentral.
GACGAACGCUGGCGGCGUGCUUAACACAUGCAAGUCGAACGGAAAGGCCCUGCUUUUGUGGGGUGCUCGAGUGGCGAACGGGUGAGUAACACGUGAGUAACCUGCCCUUGACUUUGGGAUAACUUCAGGAAACUGGGGCUAAUACCGGAUAGGAGCUCCUGCUGCAUGGAGGGGGUUGGAAAGUUUCGGCGGUUGGGGAUGGAUUCGGGGCUUAUCAGCUUGUUGGUGGGGUAGUGGCUUACCAUGGCUUUGACGGGUAGCCGGCCUGGGAGGGUGACCGGGCACCUGGGGACUGCGGGACGGACCAGUCGCCUACGGGAGGCAGAAGUGGGGAAUAUUGCACAAUGGGAGCAAGCCUGAUGCAGCGACGCCGCGUGUGGAAUGACGGUCUGUUGGUUGUAAACCGCUUUAGCCUGUGACGAAGCGUGAGUGACGGUAAUGGGUAAAGAAGCACCGGCUAACUACGUG